GACGGGGGAUGCAAGAGUUAUCCGGAAUCACUGGGCGUAAAGCGUCUGUAGGUGGUUUAAUAAGACAACUGUUAAAUCUUGAGGCUCAACCUCAAAAUCGCAGUCGAAACUAUUAGACUAGAGUAUAGUAGGGGUAAAGGGAAUUUCCAGUGGAUCGGUGAAAUGCGUAGAUAUUGGAAAGAACACCGAUGGCGAAGGCACUUUUCUGGUCUAUUAAUAACAUUCAGAGACGAAAGCUAGGGUAGCAAAUGGG
Molecule: ribosomal RNA, 253 nt
Filed under: uncultured bacterium
Lineage: Bacteria
Description: partial 16S ribosomal RNA
Rfam family: Bacterial small subunit ribosomal RNA
Source: RNAcentral